UUACGAUCACAUCAUGUUGAAAUACCAGUUCACGUACAAUCACUAAAGUUAAGCAACAUCGAGCCUGGUCGGUACCUAGAUAGGUGACCGCUUGGGAAUACCAGUAAGUUGUAA
Molecule: non-coding RNA, 114 nt
Organism: Acanthosepion pharaonis
Lineage: Eukaryota; Metazoa; Mollusca; Cephalopoda; Sepiida; Sepiidae
Source: the annotation of a GenBank genome assembly